ACGGAAGGUGCAAGCAUUGUUCGGAUUGACUGGGCGUAAAGAGCACGUAGGUGGGUUUAUAAGUCGGAUGUGAAAUCCCUAGGCUCAACCUGGGAACUGCAUUCGAAACUGUAGAUCUUGAAUGUUUGAGAGGCUGGCGGAAUUCCAGGUGUAGGAGUGAAAUCCGUAGAUAUCUGGAGGAACACCGGAGGCGAAGGCGGCUGGCUAACAAUACAUUGACACUGAGGUGCGAAAGCGUGGGUAGCAAACAGG
RNAcentral lists this ribosomal RNA (252 nucleotides) under uncultured bacterium. RNAcentral's name for it is "partial 16S ribosomal RNA". It matches the Rfam family "Bacterial small subunit ribosomal RNA", at positions 525 to 776 of the family's 1533-position model. The record is from RNAcentral.